UGACAUCCUUUGACAACUCUAGAGAUAGAGCCUUCCCCUUCGGGGGACAAAGUGACAGGUGGUGCAUGGUUGUCGUCAGCUCGUGUCGUGAGAUGUUGGGUUAAGUCCCGCAACGAGCGCAACCCUUAAGCUUAGUUGCCAUCAUUAAGUUGGGCACUCUAAGUUGACUGCCGGUGACAAACCGGAGGAAGGUGGGGAUGACGUCAAAUCAUCAUGCCCCUUAUGAUUUGGGCUACACACGUGCUACAAUGGACAAUACAAAGGGCAGCGAAACCGCGAGGUCAAGCAAAUCCCAUAAAGUUGUUCUCAGUUCGGAUUGUAGUCUGCAACUCGACUACAUGAAGCUGGAAUCGCUAGUAAUCGUAGAUCAGCAUGCUACGGUGAAUACGUUCCCGGGUCUUGUACACACCGCCCGUCACACCACGAGAGUUUGUAACACCCGAAGCCGGUGGAGUAACCUUUUAGGAGCUAGCCGUCGAAGGUGGGACAAAUGAUUGGGGUGAAGUCGUAACAAGGUAGCCGUAUCGGAAGGUGCGGCU
RNAcentral lists this ribosomal RNA (539 nucleotides) under Staphylococcus aureus. Its description in RNAcentral is "bacterial SSU rRNA". It matches the Rfam family "Bacterial small subunit ribosomal RNA", at positions 982 to 1519 of the family's 1533-position model. The record is from RNAcentral. Lineage: Bacteria; Bacillati; Bacillota; Bacilli; Caryophanales; Staphylococcaceae.